RNAcentral lists this ribosomal RNA (301 nucleotides) under uncultured bacterium. RNAcentral describes it as "partial 16S ribosomal RNA". It matches the Rfam family "Bacterial small subunit ribosomal RNA", at positions 509 to 809 of the family's 1533-position model. The record is from RNAcentral.
CAGUCGCCGCGGUAAUACGUAGGGUGCGAGCGUUAAUCGGAAUUACUGGGCGUAAAGCGUGCGCAGGCGGUUCGCUAAGACAGAUGUGAAAUCCCCGGGCUUAACCUGGGAACUGCAUUUGUGACUGGCGAGCUAGAGUAUGGCAGAGGGGGGUAGAAUUCCACGUGUAGCAGUGAAAUGCGUAGAGAUGUGGAGGAAUACCGAUGGCGAAGGCAGCCCCCUGGGCCAAUACUGACGCUCAUGCACGAAAGCGUGGGGAGCAAACAGGAUUAGAUACCCCGGUAGUCCCUGUCUCUUAUAU